Long non-coding RNA from Pipra filicauda (Wire-tailed manakin), 1981 nucleotides. RefSeq lists it as uncharacterized. The transcript is spliced from 3 exons. Lineage: Eukaryota; Metazoa; Chordata; Aves; Passeriformes; Pipridae. The record is from RefSeq and is a predicted model, not a curated record.
UCGAGUGAUGCCCGAUCGCAUCGCUGCUGCCGCCGCCGCGGGGGAGGCGCGGGGCGCGGGGGCCGCCCGCCCGCCCCGCCAAACUCGCCCCCCUCUACCCUGCGCUAUCCCCGCUUACACCCUCGUCGCCGCGCUUCGGAGCGGGUACCACCGCCGCCAGCACAGGCGGUUUUGACCUUUCAAUAGAGAGCUGAUUUUGGAGAACGACUUACUCCUGUGAUUGAAAAACUCUCUGGAAGGUUGAUGGAGCAUGAGCUUGGUCCCAAAUUCAUGGCCUCUCUAAUCAAUUCAAGAGAAGAUAAAAUAUGGUUUGAAAUAAACUCUCAGGAAAAUGUUUGCCUUUCUUUCUAGAAUUACCAGGUUUAAAAUCUAGGUCUUCAUUUGCAUCUAGGUUUGGGGUAUAACUAGGAGACUCUUGAAUUAGCAGUGAGAAAAUAAUUCCUUCCAGGGUAUUAGUACUGCUAGACUGUGUUCUGUUCUGACACCAGCAACUCUUCUGUUUUCGUUAAGGCUUUGAUCCCAGCUAUAUCAUCAUAAUUAUGGUGAAUUUGGCUGUGAAUAUUGAGUGUUUGCUUCAGAAAUUGAUAUUUUUGUGAAACUGCAUAAGAAACUAACAAAUAUAAAAUACAAGAAUGUUCAUAAGUUAUCUCUUAAAUUUAUUGUCCUUGAUUAUUUUUUUUGCCAUUUAGAUAUACAAACUUCUUGUAUUUUGGUGUGUAAUACUUAAUUUGUCAACCUCACAGUCUUCUGAUCUGAAAAUGAGUUUGAAAUGCUGUUCAGGUUUUUUUGUUUUAUUUUUUUAUGUGAAUAUAACUUCUGUUGCUGACCCAUUUUCCAGUAUUAAAAACCUGAACAGAAUUUGUCAUUGAGGUAGGAAUUAAUGAAGGCUAACACUAGAGGGCAAUUCAAAGCAGCAGUGUACUCCAGAACAGGUUUGGGUGCCUGUGGCCCUGAGCUGAAAAAGAGGGAAGCUGUGGAGACUUUUCCAGGGUCUCCCCAGGCAAAAGAUGGUCUUUGUGAUUACCCUCCUAAAUCGUUUAUUUAACUCAUUUUUCAUAUCUCGGAGUGCUCCACUGAAUGAGGAGGAAGUUAAGCCAGUUCUUAUGCUUUGCUGAAUUACAAGUUAAGAAACGCCUUCCAAGAGAGUCUUACCCCACUCACUCUUGCCAGUGUCAAAAAGGCAUAACUUAUUCAGUGGUGGGUUUUGUUCACUUUUAAUUUGCUGUCAUGUGCUACAGCAAACUCUUUGAAAAAUACUAGGAUUUGUGGGGUAAGAUAACAUUGCACAGAAAUUUAAAUGUCUUUCGCUAAAUGCUAAGGAAAAUGGAAUGGAAUACAUGGUGAGUAAAAUAUUUUCUUUCAAAAUACUAUAAAGUUAUUCAAAUUAAUAAGACAGUAUGAAUAAUUAAUUCCAUAUAAAUAAGAAAAAACAAACCACCUGACAACCAGGAUAAGGCAUCAGAUGGGUACUUUGUGUCAGUAAUUUUAUCAAAGAAAAUAUAUUGAAUGUAACAAAAAAAAUUCAGUUGAAGAUGAGUAAUCAGGUGCUGUAUUUAAUAUUUAACCAAGUAGGAGGGAUCAUCUGUUUGUAUUGUGCACAAUUUAAACAAUUUAUAUAACAGUGCAUUACAUAAUAAAUUACAGUUUUCACAGUUGCAAUGUUCAUUAUAGAUUUACAGAACAUCUUGAAUACUUGUAAAUAAUAACCUGUAAUGCAAACGAUGAUGUUAUGGUUCUUGAAAAGGAUUCCAGUAUUCUCAUUUCAGCAAUGCAAAUUUUCUCAUUAUAUUGAAAUGUAUGCACCCAGCCAUGUAAAUGCUUGUGGCACAGUACAAAUUUCAAAUCAAAGAGCAUUUUAUAAGUGAGUGUGAGUUUAUACCUGUCCCUCUACCUUAUUUUAUGUGGAUGCAUAUAAUAUUUUAUUAUAUAUUUUAUGUGUACUUAUAUAUAAAAAAUCUGUAAUUAAAAUAGCAUGUUUGUU